CAGGCUUGCACGAAGACCUUUUCCACAGCAGCAGGAGCUGUUAGCUGGGAGUGUAAGAGAAUUGGAUGUGACUAUUAGAAGCAAGCGGUUCUUGCCACUGUGUUCUCCUGGGGCUUGAAGCUUAUUUUCUUUUCCUCCUUUCUGAACAAUUCUUUUCUAAGCUUAUAGUGUCUCU
Molecule: long non-coding RNA, 175 nt
Organism: Corvus hawaiiensis (hawaiian crow)
Lineage: Eukaryota; Metazoa; Chordata; Aves; Passeriformes; Corvidae
Exons: 3
Source: RefSeq, a predicted model, not a curated record